Rattus norvegicus (Norway rat) is the source of this 69-nucleotide non-coding RNA. Lineage: Eukaryota; Metazoa; Chordata; Mammalia; Rodentia; Muridae. The record is from Rfam.
GGGGAUUUAGCUCAGUGGUAGAGCGCUUGCCUAGCAAGCGCAAGGCCCUGGGUUCGGUCCCCAGAGCCG